Long non-coding RNA from Cercocebus atys (sooty mangabey), 1118 nucleotides. RefSeq lists it as uncharacterized. Lineage: Eukaryota; Metazoa; Chordata; Mammalia; Primates; Cercopithecidae. The record is from RefSeq and is a predicted model, not a curated record. The transcript has 4 exons.
GUUCCGUCUUGCCCAAUCCAGACAGUCAGCAAAGGAGUCGCCCCGCCCCACUCGUCCGCCAGGCCCCGUCCCGCCUGAAGAGGCAGCUCUGCCAGAAGGCAAACCCUUCACAAGGGUAUCUCCAGAGCGUACAUCUAGAGGACAGAAGCAUCUCCAGUAAGAUCUAUAGCGGCCUCUGAGAAGGGAACGUGCUGGUUACAGAACACAAGUGUCUUCCGCGGUUUCGUUCUGUGCUCGGUUUUUGAGGCACAGAAGUAGGAUCAGUGGCUCAGUUUGCUAGAAGAAGGACAGCCAGCAGCAAAAGUUGAAGCCUGAAUGUCUUCCCAUCACAACCACAAGCUCCUUGAAAGCAGGAACACGAGUCUUAGAGUAGAUGAAAUCGCCGCACGUGAAGGCAACCAUCCCACAUCGGGUCUGAAGAGUACUGAGUGCAGCGCCCGCAGAUGUUAGGCAGCAAGCGUGUUCGUGUGGUUGUCAUGCCCCUCAUUCAGGUGUUAUGCUGCACACAGGAGUCCCUCCUUCUCCCGCCCAAACCUUCCCUGGGCCACCCUGGGCUCCUCCAGGUGACCGCCACGCCGUCUGAGAAGCGCCACCACACGCCUGCACCCCUCAGUGCAGACGCCACCACGGGCCGCGCCUGGGGACCUGGGAAUUGCUUUAAAAUACCAACACAAGGCAAAGGGUCAAUAUAAACACAGGUAGCAGAAUUUCAAUCACUGUGGAAUCUGCAUACUGAGUUUGUGAAUGCUCCCGGUGAGAUUUUUCUAUACCUCUGUACGCGCCUGAAAUUUUUCAUGAUGAAAUUCUUAAAAAGAGGUUAAGAGGCACUGAGGUCAGGCAAGGAUUACUGUCAGUUCUGGGUGAAGGAGGUGAACAUCCAAGCAUCUUUCCACAGACUCCAAACGUCUUCCCUUUGCCCCUGAGGCCCUGCCCACCCAGCUCUCCGGCUCAGGUUGGCCUCUUUGGGCAACAGGGCUGUGGUCACUUUGGCUGCAGGUGGAGUUGGCCCAUAAGGAGCCCCCACAGGAGCUGGGAGGAAGGAACAGAGUACGGUCAGGGGAUUCAUCCCCCCUGCAGCGUCACCAGGGCCUGGUUGUGUCCUUCAGCCCAAGGUCACU